GACGAAUGAUGGCGGAGGGAGGAACACAGGCAAGUCGAACGGAAAGGCCCUGCUUUUGUGGGGUGCUCGAGUGGCGAACGGGUGAGUAACACGUGAGUAACCUGCCCUUGACUUUGGGAUAACUUCAGGAAACUGGGGCUAAUACCGGAUAGGAGCUCCUGCUGCAUGGUGGGGGUUGGAAAGUUUCGGCGGUUGGGGAUGGACUCGCGGCUUAUCAGCUUGUUGGUGGGGUAGUGGCUUACCAAGGCUUUGACGGGUAGCCGGCCUGAGAGGGUGACCGGCCACAUUGGGACUGAGAUACGGCCCAGACUCCUACGGGAGGCAGCAGUGGGGAAUAUUGCACAAUGGGCGGAAGCCUGAUGCAGCAACGCCGCGGGCGGGAUGACGGCCUUCGGGUUGUAAACCGCUUUCGCCUGUGACGAAGCGUGAGUGACGGUAAUGGGUAAAGAAGCACCGGCUAACUACGUG
RNAcentral lists this ribosomal RNA (468 nucleotides) under uncultured bacterium. Its description in RNAcentral is "partial 16S ribosomal RNA". It matches the Rfam family "Bacterial small subunit ribosomal RNA", at positions 28 to 507 of the family's 1533-position model. The record is from RNAcentral.